GUUUGAUCCCUAUAAGAAAGAUUUAUUACAUAAAGGCCCUCAAAUAUAUUUGUUUGGUCCCUUUACUCAAGUUUUAUUAUAGAACAGUACCCUAUAAUUAAGUAUUAGUCCCUGCAAUAAAUUUUUAUUGCAUAAAUAAACCAAUUAGAAGCCAACUUUGGGGGCCCUAUUUAGCUGGAUCUAUGCGGGCCCAUUGGGCCGUGUCCGAUAUGGGCCCUAUCGGGCCAUGCCCAUUAUGGGCCAACUCUGGGCCCUGUUGGGCCGUGUCCAAUAGUAUUCUUUUUGGAUUUUGCUUAGUUCUGAAAUUAACAAGGAAUUAAUUAAAUUUAAACAGGUGAACCUGAUCCGCCUAUCUGAAGUAGGGAUUAAGCGAGAAGAUGUAAGUAACUUAAUGCUUCAAAGUACAUUUUUAUAAAUUAUUUGUUAAAAUAAUUAUUACUGGAUUAAAUUUUGAAAUAUGUUUUGUAUUUAGUAAAAUGGGUCUGACAUGUU
RNAcentral lists this long non-coding RNA (492 nucleotides) under Phoenix dactylifera (date palm). RNAcentral's name for it is "long non-coding RNA (PDAC_LNC006927)". The record is from RNAcentral. Lineage: Eukaryota; Viridiplantae; Streptophyta; Magnoliopsida; Arecales; Arecaceae.